CUUCACCGAACCCAGGAACAACGGCUUGUCCUCGGAACGACCGUGCCCAUAGGUCGCCAACAGAGCCUGCGCCUC
Molecule: antisense RNA, 75 nt
Filed under: Actinoalloteichus hymeniacidonis
Lineage: Bacteria; Bacillati; Actinomycetota; Actinomycetes; Pseudonocardiales; Pseudonocardiaceae
Description: ASpks TB sRNA
Rfam family: ASpks TB sRNA
Source: RNAcentral